This 468-nucleotide ribosomal RNA is filed under the name uncultured bacterium. RNAcentral describes it as "partial 16S ribosomal RNA". It matches the Rfam family "Bacterial small subunit ribosomal RNA", at positions 28 to 507 of the family's 1533-position model. The record is from RNAcentral.
GACGAACGCUGGCGGCGUGCUUAACACAUGCAAGUCGAACGGAAAGGCCCUGCUUUUGUGGGGUGCUCGAGUGGCGAACGGGUGAGUAACACGUGAGUAACCUGCCCUUGACUUUGGGAUAACUUCAGGAAACUGGGGCUAAUACCGGAUAGGAGCUCCUGCUGCAUGGUGGGGGUUGGAAAGUUUCGGCGGUUGGGGAUGGACUCGCGGCUUAUCAGCUUGUUGGUGGGGUAGUGGCUUACCAAGGCUUUGACGGGUAGCCGGCCUGAGAGGGUGACCGGCCACAUUGGGACUGAGAUAGGGCCCAGACUCCUACGGGAGGCAGCAGUGGGGAAUAUUGCACAAUGGGCGGAAGCCUGACGCAGCAACGCCGCGUGCGGGAUGACGGCCUUCGGGUUGUAAACCGCUUUCGCCUGUGACGAAGCGUGAGUGACGGUAAUGGGUAAAGAAGCACCGGCUAACUACGUG